CUAGAACUACCUGAAGGAAUGCAGCCGCAUCAACACCACACUGUUUGCCUAGUGAAAUCCAUCUAGGAGUCUGACCUAAAGAACUGUAAGGAGUAGAGUCUCCCAGACAGAAUAAGCCCCAGAACUACGUGGGAAGAAGGCCUUGUUACAUAACAGGAAGCCUCAGUCCUGGUGCCGCCGGCCUCAGCUUUGGGCGUGAGAUGGAAGGCGGUCCGUGCUGGCCGACAGGCCCUCUCUGAACAGCUCUAGCAUCCCACACCCAUUGGAAACAUGUUCAGUCACACAUAUCCACAGCUGGAAAGAACCUCGGCCCCACCCUCAGAAACAGGUGCUGCCGAUACCUGGAUCUGCUGGACCAUGUUGCGGAGCUGCACCAGAAACUCCUUGGCUUCUUUGGCCCUGUCUGACAGCCCG
Mustela lutreola (European mink) is the source of this 414-nucleotide long non-coding RNA. RefSeq lists it as uncharacterized. The record is from RefSeq and is a predicted model, not a curated record. NCBI's taxonomy places the organism in Eukaryota, Metazoa, Chordata, Mammalia, Carnivora, Mustelidae. The transcript is spliced from 4 exons.